RNAcentral lists this long non-coding RNA (495 nucleotides) under Brassica rapa (field mustard). RNAcentral describes it as "long non-coding RNA (BRAP_LNC007854)". The record is from RNAcentral. Lineage: Eukaryota; Viridiplantae; Streptophyta; Magnoliopsida; Brassicales; Brassicaceae.
CUUGGAUUUCAAGUUUGGUAUUGCAACUUUUUAAGCAGAUUACUUAUGGGUUUUUUGUACUUUGCGUCAUUUUGCUUCAUAGGUAUUCUUUGUGGGUUUUACAUUGUGGGUUUUUUGAAUAAUAUAACUUGUGUUCUUUGUGGAUUUUACGUUGUGGGUUUCUUGCGUGUAUGAAUGUGUCAGUGUGUCACUCACUGGUCGAGUUUGACUGUUUUAGCUUCUAGCUAAUGAAUCAAGCAUCUUGUUGUUGGCUGUGAUAAACUGAUUCUGUUGUUGGCUUGUUGCAGAGCAACGAGUGUUUGAAGAGAUUCAAGAGUCAAGAGACUUGGAGAACAACAAGUGUUUGCUGACUUGAGAGUUUGAGUAAAGUUCUAUUUAGUAAAGUAGCUACAAAGUUGUGCCCAACAGUUAUAAUUAUACUUUGCAUUUACAUUACAUGAAUGUAAACUUUGGUUUUUAAUUUCAGUGAAGACAAAAAUGAAUAAAAGACACAUU